GUGAGUCGGUCUUAGCAUAAUGUUUUUGGGGAGCGUCACGGCGGUGGGCACGUCAAAAAUGUGACUAUUGCCGACAAAAAGAAUAAGUGAUCAGUUUUGGUAAGCCCUCUUAGUUUCUUCCGUUUGAAG
This is a non-coding RNA of Caenorhabditis elegans, 129 nucleotides long. The record is from Ensembl. NCBI's taxonomy places the organism in Eukaryota, Metazoa, Nematoda, Chromadorea, Rhabditida, Rhabditidae.